Molecule: non-coding RNA, 72 nt
Organism: Bos taurus (domestic cattle)
Lineage: Eukaryota; Metazoa; Chordata; Mammalia; Artiodactyla; Bovidae
Source: Rfam
UCCCUUGUGGCUCAGCUGAUAAAGUAUCUGCCCGCAGUGCAGGACACCUAGGUUCAAUCCCUGGCUUGGGAA